CCUACGGGAGGCAGCAGUAGGGAAUCUUGCGCAAUGGGCGAAAGCCUGACGCAGCAACGCCGCGUGAGGGAUGGAGGCCUUCGGGUUGUAAACCUCUUUCAGCAGGGACGCGGUACCUGCAGAAGAAGCCCCGGCCAACUACGUGCCAGCAGCCGCGGUAAUACGUAGGGGGCGAGCGUUGUCCGGAAUUAUUGGGCGUAAAGAGCUCGUAGGCGGUUUGGUAAGUCGGGUGUGAAACCUCCAGGCUCAACCUGGAGAUGCCACUCGAUACUGCAUGACUAGAGUCCGGUAGGGGUCCACGGAAUUCCUGGUGUAGCGGUGAAAUGCGCAGAUUCAGGAGGAACACCGGUGGCGAAGGCGGUGGGCUGGGCCGGACUGACGCUGAGGACGAAAGCGUGGGGAGCGAACAGGAUUAGAUACCCUUGUAGUC
RNAcentral lists this ribosomal RNA (430 nucleotides) under uncultured bacterium. RNAcentral describes it as "partial 16S ribosomal RNA". It matches the Rfam family "Bacterial small subunit ribosomal RNA", at positions 338 to 795 of the family's 1533-position model. The record is from RNAcentral.